This 253-nucleotide ribosomal RNA is filed under the name uncultured bacterium. RNAcentral's name for it is "partial 16S ribosomal RNA". It matches the Rfam family "Bacterial small subunit ribosomal RNA", at positions 524 to 776 of the family's 1533-position model. The record is from RNAcentral.
UACAGGGGGUGCAAACGUUGCUCGGAAUUACUGGGCGUAAAGGGCUCGUAGGCGGCCAACUAAGUCAGACGUGAAAUCCCUCGGCUUAACCGGGGAACUGCGUCUGAUACUGGAUGGCUUGAGAUUGGGAGAGGGAUGCGGAAUUCCAGGUGUAGCGGUGAAAUGCGUAGAUAUCUGGAGGAACACCGGUGGCGAAGGCGGCAUCCUGGACCAACACUGACACUGAGGAGCGAAAGCCAGGGGAGCAAACGGG